GGGCUCACCGAUGGAGUGGCGGCGGGCGAAUCUUGCCUGCUGGCGGACGUGUGCGGUGCUCCGUGUUUUUUUUAAGUGUUUUUUUAUUCAGAAAGAAGGAAAAAAUUUAUUGUGGUCUUUCGAAAUAAAAUUUUAUUUAUCUAUCAUUUGCAUCUUAACGCUUCUCCACGUAUUCGUUGACAAACUUAUAGAAUAUCAUGUUUGCACAAGCUGAACUAACCUCCAAGUUUUUGAAAAGCCGCAUGAGCCGCCCAC
Molecule: long non-coding RNA, 255 nt
Filed under: Brachypodium distachyon (stiff brome)
Lineage: Eukaryota; Viridiplantae; Streptophyta; Magnoliopsida; Poales; Poaceae
Description: long non-coding RNA (BDIS_LNC003890)
Source: RNAcentral